Molecule: ribosomal RNA, 465 nt
Filed under: uncultured bacterium
Lineage: Bacteria
Description: bacterial SSU rRNA
Rfam family: Bacterial small subunit ribosomal RNA
Source: RNAcentral
CCUACGGGAUGCACCAGUGGGGAAUAUUGCGCAAUGGGCGCAAGCCUGAUGCAGCCAUGCCGCGUGUGUGAAGAAGGCCUUCGGGUUGUAAAGCACUUUCAGCGGGGAGGAAGGCGGUGAGGUUAAAAACCUCACCGAUUGACGUUACCCGCAGAAGAAGCGCCGGCUAACUCCGUGCCAGCAGCCGCGGUAAUACGGAGGGUGCAAGCGUUAAUCGGAAUUACUGGGCGUAAAGCGCACGCAGGCGGUCUGUCAAGUCGGAUGUGGAAUCCCCGGGCUCAACCUGGGAACUGCAUUCGAAACUGGCAGGCUAGAGUCUUGUAGAGGGGGGUAGAAUUCCAGGUGUAGCGGUGAAAUGCGUAGAGAUCUGGAGGAAUACCGGUGGCGAAGGCGGCCCCCUGGACAAAGACUGACGCUCAGGUGCGAAAGCGUGGGGAGCAAACAGGAUUAGAUACCCGCGUAGUC